UACAGAGGAGGCGAGCGUUGUCCGGAAUCAUUGGGCGUAAAGAGCGCGCAGGCGGCUUGGCAAGUCGGGUGUGAAAUCCCGGGGCUCAACCCCGGGACUGCAUUCGAUACUGUCAGGCUAGAGGUAGGUAGGGGAGAUCGGAAUUCCUGGUGUAGCGGUGAAAUGCGCAGAUAUCAGGAGGAACACCGGUGGCGAAGGCGGAUCUCUGGGCCUUACCUGACGCUCAGGCGCGAAAGCUAGGGGAGCGAACAGG
RNAcentral lists this ribosomal RNA (253 nucleotides) under uncultured bacterium. RNAcentral describes it as "partial 16S ribosomal RNA". It matches the Rfam family "Bacterial small subunit ribosomal RNA", at positions 524 to 776 of the family's 1533-position model. The record is from RNAcentral.